This 433-nucleotide ribosomal RNA is filed under the name uncultured bacterium. RNAcentral's name for it is "partial 16S ribosomal RNA". It matches the Rfam family "Bacterial small subunit ribosomal RNA", at positions 29 to 507 of the family's 1533-position model. The record is from RNAcentral.
AACGAACGCUGGCGGCAUGCCUAACACAUGCAAGUCGAACGAGACCUUCGGGUCUAGUGGCGCACGGGUGCGUAACGCGUGGGAACCUGCCCUUAGGUUCGGAAUAACUCCCCGAAAGGGGUGCUAAUACCGGAUAAUGUCUUCGGACCAAAGAUUUAUCGCCUUUGGCUGGGCCCGCGUUGGAUUAGUUAGUUGGUAGGGUAAAAGCCUACCAAGGCGACGAUCCAUAGAUGUUCUGAGAGGAUGAUCAGCCACACUGGGACUGAGACACGGCCCAGACUCCUACGGGAGGCAGCAGUGGGGAAUGUAGGAAAAUGGGGGAAAGCCUGAUCCAGCAAUGCCGCGUGAGUGAUGAAGGCCUUAGGGUUGUAAAGCGCUGUUACCCGGGAUGAUAAUGACAGUACCGGGAGAAUAAGCUCCGGCUAACUCCGUG